This 253-nucleotide unclassified non-coding RNA is filed under the name uncultured Bacillaceae bacterium. RNAcentral's name for it is "contains 16S-23S intergenic spacer region". It matches the Rfam family "Bacterial small subunit ribosomal RNA", at positions 524 to 776 of the family's 1533-position model. Lineage: Bacteria; Bacillati; Bacillota; Bacilli; Caryophanales; Bacillaceae. The record is from RNAcentral.
UACGUAGGUGGCAAGCGUUGUCCGGAAUUAUUGGGCGUAAAGCGCGCGCAGGCGGUUCCUUAAGUCUGAUGUGAAAGCCCACGGCUCAACCGUGGAGGGUCAUUGGAAACUGGGGAACUUGAAGACAGAAGAGGAGAGCGGAAUUCCACGUGUAGCGGUGAAAUGCGUAGAGAUGUGGAGGAACACCAGUGGCGAAGGCGGCUCUCUGGUCUGUGCUUGACGCUGAGGCGCGAAAGCGUGGGGAGCGAACAGG